GAUGAACGCUGGCGGCGUGCCUAAUACAUGCAAGUCGAGCGAACAGACGAGGAGCUUGCUCCUCUGACGUUAGCGGCGGACGGGUGAGUAACACGUGGAUAACCUACCUAUAAGACUGGGAUAACUUCGGGAAACCGGAGCUAAUACCGGAUAAUAUAUUGAACCGCAUGGUUCAAUAGUGAAAGACGGUUUUGCUGUCACUUAUAGAUGGAUCCGCGCCGCAUUAGCUAGUUGGUAAGGUAACGGCUUACCAAGGCAACGAUGCGUAGCCGACCUGAGAGGGUGAUCGGCCACCCUAGAACUGAGACACGGUCCAGACUCCUAAGGGAGGCAGCCGGAGGGAAUCUUCCGCAAUGGGCGAAAGCUUGACGGAGCAACGCCGCGUGAGUGAUGAAGGUCUUCGGAUCGUAAAACUCUGUUAUUAGGGAAGAACAAAUGUGUAAGUAACUAUGCACGUCUUGACGGUACCUAAUCAGAAAGCCACGGCUAACUACGUG
This 497-nucleotide ribosomal RNA is filed under the name uncultured bacterium. RNAcentral describes it as "partial 16S ribosomal RNA". It matches the Rfam family "Bacterial small subunit ribosomal RNA", at positions 28 to 507 of the family's 1533-position model. The record is from RNAcentral.